AACUUUCAACCAGUAGAACAAAACUAAAAGAUGGGAUCCCAAAGAGAACAAGCAAUAAGGUUGCAAACAAGACAAAUUCAACCGUUUCUCAUCCAACAUAACUAAAGGUGAUUACCUCACAAUUUGAUUGCUACGCCGCAAAAGCAAAACAAACACCAACUAAUUCCAAUCCCAACAAAGCAAAAAAGUAUUCUCAAACUUUUGAGAACACAAGCAAUAGAAGCGACGACGAACGGUUCAAGGCGGAUCAAACCAUGCUCUCGAUACCAUGUU
This 273-nucleotide long non-coding RNA is filed under the name Trifolium pratense (red clover). Its description in RNAcentral is "long non-coding RNA (TPRA_LNC005234)". The record is from RNAcentral. Lineage: Eukaryota; Viridiplantae; Streptophyta; Magnoliopsida; Fabales; Fabaceae.